GGGGAUUUUAUAGAGCAUUUUACAAGCUUUCCAUAGCCUCGAAAAUGGACUAAUUGUAGCAUCCCCGGAAUCCGGACCCCAAAUCGCCGCGGAUUCGGUACACUAAACAUUCUACAACUGUAUGCGGAAGAUAUAAACAUAGAUUGUUUAUACAUUAAACUUUACACACUAUUCCCAAAAUCGAGUAACCUUAACUAAUACACAAUCGUGAACUGUCUAACACAUGACAAUACUAUUCUUCAACAUACUUUACAACUUAACUUCACAUUCUAUCCCAAGCUGAACUUGGCAUUAUCCUUUUCCUGUAUCUGGCCGUAUUCGCCUUAUCUGCAAUGUUUUAUC
Molecule: long non-coding RNA, 342 nt
Filed under: Panax ginseng (ginseng)
Lineage: Eukaryota; Viridiplantae; Streptophyta; Magnoliopsida; Apiales; Araliaceae
Description: long non-coding RNA (PGIN_LNC007971)
Source: RNAcentral